Molecule: ribosomal RNA, 119 nt
Filed under: Triticum aestivum (bread wheat)
Lineage: Eukaryota; Viridiplantae; Streptophyta; Magnoliopsida; Poales; Poaceae
Source: RNAcentral
GGAUGCGAUCAUACCAGCACUGAGGCAUCGGAUCCCAUCAGAACUCCGAAGUUAAGCGUGCUUGGGCGAGAGUAGUACUAGGAUGGGUGACCUCCUGGGAAGUCCUCGUGUUGCAUUCC